AACGUUCGGAUUGUAGGCUGCAACUCGCCUACAUGAAGUUGGAAUUGCUAGUAAUCAUAGGUCAGCAUACUAUGGUGAAUACGUUCCCGGGCCUUGUACACACCGCCCGUCACACCAUGAGAGUUGAGAGUACCCGAAGCCCAUGUCAAAGUGGUCGAAGGUAGGCUUGAUGAUUGGGGUGAAGUCGUAACAAGGUACC
Molecule: ribosomal RNA, 199 nt
Filed under: uncultured bacterium
Lineage: Bacteria
Description: partial 16S ribosomal RNA
Rfam family: Bacterial small subunit ribosomal RNA
Source: RNAcentral